GACGAACGCUGGCGGCGUGCCUAAUACAUGCAAGUAGAACGCUGAAGAGAGGAGCUUGCUCUUCUUGGAUGAGUUGCGAACGGGUGAGUAACGCGUAGGUAACCUGCCUUGUAGCGGGGGAUAACUAUUGGAAACGAUAGCUAAUACCGCAUAACAAUGGAUGACACAUGUCAUUUAUUUGAAAGGGGCAAUUGCUCCACUACAAGAUGGACCUGCGUUGUAUUAGCUAGUAGGUGAGGUAAUGGCUCACCUAGGCGACGAUACAUAGCCGACCUGAGAGGGUGAUCGGCCACACUGGGACUGAGACACGGCCCAGACUCCUACGGGAGGCAGCAGUAGGGAAUCCUCGGCAAUGGGGGCAACCCUCACCGAGCAACGCCGCGUGAGUGAAGAAGGUUUUCGGAUCGUAAAGCUCUGUUGUAAGUCAAGAACGGGUGUGAGAGUGGAAAGUUCACACUGUGACGGUAGCUUACCAGAAAGGGACGGCUAACUACGUG
This 497-nucleotide ribosomal RNA is filed under the name uncultured bacterium. RNAcentral's name for it is "partial 16S ribosomal RNA". It matches the Rfam family "Bacterial small subunit ribosomal RNA", at positions 28 to 507 of the family's 1533-position model. The record is from RNAcentral.